RNAcentral lists this long non-coding RNA (2176 nucleotides) under Sus scrofa (pig). Its description in RNAcentral is "lncRNA (multiple genes)". Lineage: Eukaryota; Metazoa; Chordata; Mammalia; Artiodactyla; Suidae. The record is from RNAcentral.
CUAUUUGAAAAAAUAAAUCACUCUUAUAAGCAUAAUUUUUCAAAUGAUAGAGGUGGUUUUAUGACAAGCCAUUGUAUUAUAAAGUGAUAACUGUAAUAUGGAAAAUUAAAAAAAAAUCACCCACAAUUUCAGUGCCCUCACACAACCUUUACUAUUAUUUUCAUGAACAUUUUCGGUAUACUUUUUACCUGCAUAUAUUCACUGAUAACUUUUUUUGCAUCAUACAUAGACACAUAUAAAUGAAUCGUUACAAUACAUCCUGUAACACCACUCAAAGAAAGAACAUUAACAGCCUCCAAGCAUUGACAGGUGUGUCCUCUCCUCCUUUUUUCUCUUAAAGGGAACACUGCCCUGUCUUCUAAAGCCGUAAAGUUUCUCUGUUUAAAUUUUAAGUAAAUGUAACUAAACAGUAAGUUUUCCUUUGUCUCUGGUUUUCUCUCCUCAGUACUAUGUUUGUUUCAUCUGUGUCGCUGCAUGUAGAAAUAGUUGUGGUGGUUUUUUUUUUUUGGUUUGGUUUGGUUUUUUGGUCAUCCCACAGAGUUCCCAGACCAGGGAUCAGAUCCGACAGCAGUUGUGCCAACGCCAGAUCCUUUAACUCACUGAAGUGGGCUGGGGAUGGAACCUGCAUCUGGCACUGCAGAAAUGCCACUGAUCCUAUUGUGCCACAGCAGGAACUCUAUAAAUAGUUGGUUCUGGAGUUCCCGUUGCGGCUCAGUGGUAAUGAACCCAACUAGUAUCCAUGAGGACUUGGGUUUGAUUCCUGGCCCUUCUCAGUGGGUUAAGGAUUUGGCAUUGCUGUGAGCUGUGAUGUAGGUCGCAGAUGGGGCUUGGAUCUGGCAUUGCUGUGACUGUGGUGUAGGCCAGCAGCUGCAGCUCUGCUUUGAUCCCUAGCCUGGGAACUUUCAUAUAGGCUGCGGGUGCAGCCCUAAAAAGCAAAUUAAUUAAUUAAUAGUUGGUUCUCUUUAACUACUAAUAUUCUAUUAUUAUAAAAUUUAUUAUAAUCUGGAUAUCUGGAUUGUUUAUAGGUUAGUGCUAAUAAAAAUAAUGGUACUGUAAAUAUUCUUAUAGAUGUCCUUUAAUUAUACAUAUGUAUUUAUUUCUAGUAUAUCUGAUAUUGAAUUUGCUGAGUGUGGAUUUGCUUGGUCAUAGAGUAUGCAUAUGUUUAACCUUAGUAGACAAUGCAAAGCAGUUUUACUAAAUAGUUGCACCAGUUUAGUCUCAGUGAAUGAGUUUCCAUUGCAACGCAUCCUCACCCAACUCUUUGGUGUUGUCAAUCCUUUUAAUUUUAGUCAUUCUGAUGGGUGAUAGUGGUAUUUGAUUAUGGUUUUAAUUUGCAUUUCCCUAGUGAUUAAUGACAUUGAGCACUUUUUCAUAUGUUUAUUGGCCAUUUGAAUAUCUUUAUUUUUAAAUCUUACAUCUCUUUCCUGUUUUUCUUUUAGGUUCUUUCUCUUUCUUAUUGUUGUAUAGUUCUUUAUAUAUUCUGGACACAAGUUGAUAUAUCUGUUGCAAAUAUCUCCUCCCAGUUUGUGGCUUGCUUUCCCCCUCCAUCUUAAUCUUGUCUUUGGGGAAAAAGACAGGUUCCUAAUUUUAAUGUAUUUCAAUUUAUAAAUGGUUUCCAUCAUGGUUAGUGCACUUUAUGUCCCAUUCAAGAACUCUUAGGAGUUCCCGUCAUGGCGCAGUGGUUAAUGAAUCCGACUAGGAACCAUGAGGUUGCGGAUUCGAUCCCUGGCCUUGCUCAAUCAUUAACCCACUGAGUGAGGCCAGGAAUCGAAACUGUGUCCUCAUAGGUGCUAGUCAGGUUCAUUAACUGCUGAGCCACAAUGGAAACUUCUGGAUUUUUUUUGCAUACACAAUCAUGGCAUCUCUGCAUCAAAUGUGUUUCUUUCUUUCCAACUCUUAUGCUUUUCAUUUCUUUCUCUUGCCUUACUGCACUGGUUAUGGAUUUAAAGCUAUGCUAAAUAGAAAUUGUGAGAAUGGCUUUCUUGUUUAUUAUAAAUUUCAGGGAAAAAGCUUUGAACAUUUCAUCAUUAAGUUAGAUGUUUUCUGUAUGCUUUUGGUAGAUGUCUUUUAUUCUAUUAAGAAAGUUCUCUUUCUACAGCUCCAAUUAGACCCCUAGUCUGGUUGGGAACCUCCAUAUGCUGCUAAAGACAAAAGACAAAAAAAAAAAAAGAAAAAA